GAAAGAGAGGCUAGAAAAAAUAUAUUUGGUUAAAGUGGUGGUGGCUGUGAACAAGUAUAGGUGGCUAGGUUUUUUUUUAUAUAGGCUUAGACUUUUUUUUCUUUUCCAGUUUUUAGUCUUUUUGCUCUUAUUUGUUUUCUAUAUUUUUCUGAUGUUUAGUUAUAUUAUUUCUCUUCAUUUUUGGGUAUCUGUGUGAUUUCACUCAUUCUCUUUUCUGAG
RNAcentral lists this long non-coding RNA (219 nucleotides) under Populus trichocarpa (black cottonwood). RNAcentral's name for it is "long non-coding RNA (PTRI_LNC002880)". Lineage: Eukaryota; Viridiplantae; Streptophyta; Magnoliopsida; Malpighiales; Salicaceae. The record is from RNAcentral.